RNAcentral lists this long non-coding RNA (572 nucleotides) under Mytilus galloprovincialis (Mediterranean mussel). The record is from RNAcentral. Lineage: Eukaryota; Metazoa; Mollusca; Bivalvia; Mytilida; Mytilidae.
UGCGAUCGUGUAGAUCGCAGUAAGAUCGUAUCACGGUCUUGGUGAGGUCUUCAAGAUCGUAAAGAGCGUGGCCAACUUUGAACAUGUUCAAAACAAUCGUGUUGCGGUCGUGGCAAAAUCAGGUCGUAGUAAAAGCGUAGUGAGAGCGCACUAAGAUCGUAGUAAGAUCGCAAAGGUCGCUGUACAAUCGUAGCGAGAGCGUAGCGAAAGCGUGAUUCUAUUCGGAGAGACUGCUCUACGAUCGCACAGCGACGUUAUCACGACCUCACUACGACCAUCACGUUCUCACUGUGACCCAACUACGCUUCCACUACGACUAUACCACGCUGUUCACGACCAUAGUACGAUUCUAGCACGCCCUUGCCGUCCUCAUCACGCUCUUCUUACGACCUGACUACGUUCAAACUACGACCAUCAUUCUCAUUGUCAUUUUCACAUAAAAUAUAUAAAAAAGGUCCCUAGCUUUUGUUUGUUUGAAUGUAAUUAUCCAUUUGCUCUAACGGCUCAACCAUGCUUCUCGUUUUAUAUAGAUUAGACCGUUGGUUUUCCCGUUUAAAUGGUUUAACACUAGU